AUUGAACUGAAGAGUUUGAUCCUGGCUCAGAUUGAACGCUGGCGGCAUGCCUUACACAUGCAAGUCGAACGGCAGCACGGGCUUCGGCCUGGUGGCGAGUGGCGAACGGGUGAGUAAUACAUCGGAACAUGUCCUGUAGUGGGGGAUAGCCCGGCGAAAGCCGGAUUAAUACCGCAUACGAUCUGAGGAUGAAAGCGGGGGACCUUCGGGCCUCGCGCUAUAGGGUUGGCCGAUGGCUGAUUAGCUAGUUGGUGGGGUAAAGGCCUACCAAGGCGACGAUCAGUAGCUGGUCUGAGAGGACGACCAGCCACACUGGGACUGAGACACGGCCCAGACUCCUACGGGAGGCAGCAGUGGGGAAUUUUGGACAAUGGGCGCAAGCCUGAUCCAGCAAUGCCGCGUGUGUGAAGAAGGCCUUCGGGUUGUAAAGCACUUUUGUCCGGAAAGAAAUCAUUCUGGCUAAUACCCGGAGUGG
This 475-nucleotide ribosomal RNA is filed under the name Burkholderia pseudomallei. RNAcentral's name for it is "bacterial SSU rRNA". It matches the Rfam family "Bacterial small subunit ribosomal RNA", at positions 1 to 472 of the family's 1533-position model. Lineage: Bacteria; Pseudomonadati; Pseudomonadota; Betaproteobacteria; Burkholderiales; Burkholderiaceae. The record is from RNAcentral.